GCGGGAAUAGCUCAGUUGGUAGAGUGCAACCUUGCCAAGGUUGAGGUCGCGAGUUCGAAUCUCGUUUCCCGCUCCA
Molecule: transfer RNA, 76 nt
Filed under: Buchnera aphidicola (Sarucallis kahawaluokalani)
Lineage: Bacteria; Pseudomonadati; Pseudomonadota; Gammaproteobacteria; Enterobacterales; Erwiniaceae
Description: tRNA-Gly
Rfam family: tRNA
About the family: Transfer RNA (tRNA) molecules are approximately 80 nucleotides in length. Their secondary structure includes four short double-helical elements and three loops (D, anti-codon, and T loops).
Source: RNAcentral